CUGGAUAUGGUUCAACAGUUAAGAGCACUGGUUGUUCUUCCAGAGGUCCUGGGUUCAAAUCCCAGCACCCAUA
Molecule: transfer RNA, 73 nt
Filed under: Neotoma lepida (desert woodrat)
Lineage: Eukaryota; Metazoa; Chordata; Mammalia; Rodentia; Cricetidae
Rfam family: tRNA
About the family: Transfer RNA (tRNA) molecules are approximately 80 nucleotides in length.
Source: Rfam by way of RNAcentral